RNAcentral lists this ribosomal RNA (1248 nucleotides) under Zygeupolia rubens. Its description in RNAcentral is "16S ribosomal RNA". The stretch from base 577 to 1248 matches the Rfam family "Archaeal large subunit ribosomal RNA", at positions 1423 to 2783 of the family's 2987-position model. Lineage: Eukaryota; Metazoa; Nemertea; Pilidiophora; Heteronemertea; Lineidae. The record is from RNAcentral.
UUUUAUAUUUUUGUUUAUUUGGUUUUGUGUUUUUAUUAAAACAUUUUUAAAUAUAGUAUUUGUGAUAGAAAUAUGUCUUAGUUGAUGUACUGUAAGGGGAAUUAAAAAAUUUUUGUAGAAGUGUUUUGUUUUUACUUUUUGUAUCAUGGGUUGGUGAGUAUAAAAUUUUAUUUAUUUUACCCGAAGCUUUGUGAGCUAUUUUUUUUAUGCGUUGAGCAUUUGUAUAAUGUUGAAAAAUUAUAUGUAUAAAUUUAAAUUGGUGUGAAAUUCUAUUCGUACAAAGUGAUAGCUGGUUUUUGUUGUAAGGCCUAUAGGGUUGUACUAUUUAGUUUUUGUAAAUAAAUCUUUUGGGGAUAAGCUUGAGAGAUUUUAUGAAUGGUGAUAAUAAAUGUUUUAAUGGUGGGAAUAAAAGCUGCCUUUUUUGAUAAGUUCGUUUUAGAUUGACUGGUUGUUUGUUUGUAUCUUUUUUCAAAACAAAAUUUAUUAUUUAAUUGCUAUUGUAAAUUUUAAUGCUAAUAUUAGUACUUUGUUAUGGUAAGGUAUUUUCGUUAUUGUAGGGAAAAUUUUUAAAGUAUAAAUUUUUUAUGUUAUUUAUAGGAAUUCGGCAAAAUUUUGCUCCAACUGUUUAUCAAAAACAUAGCUUGUUGAGUGUUUGAUAACAAGUAGUUUCUGCCCGGUGAUUUUAAACGGCCGCGGUAUUUUGACCGUGCAAAGGUAGCAUAAUCAUUUGUCCUUUUAUUGGGGGCUGGUAUGAAGGAAAGAUUGUGAGCUUAGCUGUCUUUUUGUAAUGUGUGGAAUUUGUUGUUUUUGUGAAGAAACAAAAAUGUAGAAAAAAGACAAGAAGACCCUAUUAAGCUUUAUUUUUAUUAGUUUUUAUUUUUCUUUGUAAGUAUCUUUUUAAAUGCUUAAAAAAUUUGGUUGGGGUGACCAAAAAGGACAUGAUCCUCUUUUAUUUGUUUUACUUUAUGUUUAAUGUAGAUCCAGAAUUUUCUGAUUAAAAGAAUUAGUUACUAUAGGGAUAACAGCGUAAUUUUUUCUGAGAGUUCUGAUUGAAGAAAAAGUUUGCGACCUCGAUGUUGACUUAUUAUUUCCUGUUAAGGUGCAGCAGCUUUUAGGGUUAGUCUGUUCGACUAUUAAAAUAAUACGUGAGUUGAGUUCAGACCGGCGUGAGCCAGGUUGGUUUCUAUCUUUUUUUAUUUUGUUAGGGUUGGGUUAGUACGAGAGGAUUAUCCAGUCUAAUUUUAUUAU